UGUCUCAGUACAAGCCACAUUAAGGUGAAACCGCGAAAGGCUCAUUNNNNNNNNNNUGGUUCCUUAGAUCGUACCCACAUUUACUUGGAUACCUUGNGAGUAAUUCUAGAGCUAAUACAUGCAAACAGAGCUCCGACCGGAGACGGAAGGAGCGCUUUUAUUAGAUCAAAACCAAUCGGUGGCGGUUCGCCGUCAUCGUACAACUUGGUGACUCUGAAUAACUUACGCUGAUCGCACGGUCUCGCACCGGCGACGCAUCUUUCAAAUGUCUGCCUUAUCAACUGUCGAUGGUAGAUUCUGUGCCUACCAUGGUCGUAACGGGUAACGGGGAAUCAGGGUUCGAUUCCGGAGAGGGAGCCUGAGAAACGGCUACCACAUCCAAGGAAGGCAGCAGGCGCGCAAAUUACCCACUCCCGGCACGGGGAGGUAGUGACGAAAAAUAACGAUACGGGACUCAUCCGAGGCCCCGUAAUCGGAAUGAGUACACUCUAAACCCUUUAACGAGGAUCAAUUGGAGGGCAAGUCUGGUGCCAGCAGCCGCGGUAAUUCCAGCUCCAAUAGCGUAUAUUAAAGUUGUUGCGGUUAAAAAGCUCGUAGUCGAAUCUGUGUCCCACGCCGCCGGUUCAUCGUUCGCGGUGUUAAUUGGCGUGUCGCGGGACGUCCUGCCGGUGGGCUUAGCUCGCGAGGGCGGCCCAAUUUAAUCCCGCCGCGGUGCUCUUCAUUGAGUGUCGAGGUGGGCCGGCACGUUUACUUUGAACAAAUUAGAGUGCUUAAAGCAGGCUAAAAUUUCGCACAUAGAAUACGUGUGUCUUGUG
This 815-nucleotide ribosomal RNA is filed under the name Morpholycus sp. COL1091. RNAcentral describes it as "SSU rRNA". It matches the Rfam family "Eukaryotic small subunit ribosomal RNA", at positions 56 to 829 of the family's 1831-position model. Lineage: Eukaryota; Metazoa; Arthropoda; Insecta; Coleoptera; Pyrochroidae. The record is from RNAcentral.